Molecule: ribosomal RNA, 253 nt
Filed under: uncultured bacterium
Lineage: Bacteria
Description: partial 16S ribosomal RNA
Rfam family: Bacterial small subunit ribosomal RNA
Source: RNAcentral
UACGGAGGUGGCAAGCGUUGCUCGGAAUCACUGGGCGUAAAGGGCGCGUAGGCGGGGAGGUAAGUCGGGGGUGAAAUCCCUCGGCCCAACCGAGGAACUGCGCCCGAGACUGCUUCUCUUGAGUCCCGGAGAGGAAGAUGGAAUUCCCGGUGUAGCGGUGAAAUGUGUAGAGAUCGGGAGGAACACCGGUGGCGAAGGCGGUCUUCUGGACGGUGACUGACGCUGAGGCGCGAAAGCGUGGGGAGCAAACGGG